Molecule: ribosomal RNA, 498 nt
Filed under: uncultured bacterium
Lineage: Bacteria
Description: partial 16S ribosomal RNA
Rfam family: Bacterial small subunit ribosomal RNA
Source: RNAcentral
GACGAACGCUGGCGGCGUGCCUAAUACAUGCAAGUCGAACGAGAGCACCCGGUGCUUGCCCUGGUCAAUCUAGUGGCGAACGGGUGAGUAACACGUGGGUAACCUGCCCAUCAGAGGGGGAUAACAUCCGGAAACGGAUGCUAAAACCGCAUAGGUCUUCGAACCGCAUGGUUUGAAGAGGAAAAGAGGCGCAAGCUUCUGCUGAUGGAUGGACCCGCGGUGCAUUAGCUAGUUGGUGAGGUAACGGCUCACCAAGGCCGUGAUGCAUAGCCGACCUGAGAGGGUGAUCGGCCACAUUGGGACUGAGACACGGCCCAGACUCCUACGGGAGGCAGCAGUAGGGAAUCUUCCGCAAUGGACGCAAGUCUGACGGAGCAACGCCGCGUGAGUGAAGAAGGUUUUCGGAUCGUAAAACUCUGUUGUUAGAGAAGAACAAGUGCUAGAGUAACUGUUAGCGCCUUGACGGUAUCUAACCAGAAAGCCACGGCUAACUACGUG